RNAcentral lists this small RNA (421 nucleotides) under Histoplasma ohiense. RNAcentral describes it as "hypothetical lncRNA". The record is from RNAcentral. Lineage: Eukaryota; Fungi; Ascomycota; Eurotiomycetes; Onygenales; Ajellomycetaceae.
CCAGACCAACCCUUUUCUGUACAGCCUUUUUCUCACCGCAUAUUGGCAGUGAGAGAAGCGUUCGAAGACGACUGCCUAGCUCUUCAAUUUUUAGACACAUACAUGCAAUGCAAUGCAUGUGUAUGACAUGUAACACAACCAAUCCACCAACAACUUGGUUCGAUCAUUUCUUGCUUGGCUUUGUUGUUGGCGCUCAUCCCGGAAGCCAUCACCACCAAUAAGGGCGCGGAAGCAUUCAUUCCAGGGUGAAUACUGCAUACUUCACUGCACAAUACGCCAUAUACUCGGCCAAAUUAUCAGCUCUCGAACAUCUUUCGUUUAUCUAGGUUCCUAUCGAUUUCGCGAAUUCCUCCCAACGCAGAUCAAUAUGUGCAUGACCGAAUAUCCAAUGAUCCAAUGAUCCAAUGAUCCAAUGAUCCAG